Molecule: long non-coding RNA, 7534 nt
Filed under: Ananas comosus (pineapple)
Lineage: Eukaryota; Viridiplantae; Streptophyta; Magnoliopsida; Poales; Bromeliaceae
Description: long non-coding RNA (ACOM_LNC043974)
Source: RNAcentral
CGCCAACUCAUUUGUACUACUCUACUUAGACGAGCACUACAAUAAAUUUAGUGUAUAACGAUAUUUUUAAAUAUCGAUAUAAAUAAAAAAAGGUAUUGCUAGCUAAAUUAUUAAUAUUUUUAAAAGUUAUUACUAUAUGUGGAAUCGCUAAGUAUAUAGUGACAGUUUAAGAAUGUCGGUAUAACCUAAAAAAAAAUAUUGCUAAUUUACCAACACUUAUUUAAGUAUUUAGUAACCACCGAAACUCUACCUCAUCGGCUACGACGCGGAGGAGGAGGAGAGGAGGAGGAGAGCGAGGGGCUCUUCAUCUAGGAUUUAAUGGAUUGAGUGAUCAGGGGAGAAGGAAAGAUGGUGAUCGAUUUUUUUUCUUUUUUUUUCUGUUUGUAAUCAAGCCGAGUAGGCUGGGAGGGGUUGCUUAAAUAUAAUAACCUUUUAUUUUUAGUUGGAUUGAGCUUUAUAUUUAGACUUUACUAGAAUUUUUAAAAAAAUUUUGGUAUAAAUGGAACACUUAUACAAAGGUGUUUUAAAAAUGUGUCCCUAUAAGCUCAUUCUGUUGUAGUAAAGUAGCCUAAAAUCGUCAAACUAUUGGCUCUGAUACUACAUGUUAGUAAUGAUGGAAUCUCAAGGUAUGUAAAAUAAAUAAAAAUAAAUACAUACCAAAUCCAGGAUCAAAAAUAAGAAUAUAAAAUAACUCACAGAGCGCCAUAGAGAAGAGAUUCUUGAUUAAUCUUGCGGAAGCUGGAAGUCUGGCUAUGAUCUGAAAGUCACGAACCAAACUUGGGUGAUUUGGUUUCUCCCCCUAUCUCAGGCACUCUGCCGUAUGGUGUGGAACCGAUGGUAAUUCUUCACCAGAAUGCGUAUGAGAAGGUGGCAGGACUAAUACCCCUUUAUAUAGAGUCCAGAUCGACUUCCCAUCAAAGUCUGAUUAUAAUUCUAUUCAAAUCUGAAAUAGAUGGGAUAGGGAUAAAAUAUACCAUAUCAAGUAGUUCUAAAUCUGUUAGGAUUGACUUUUAUCUAUAGCAAAUCCUAAAUUAAAUAUAAUUAAUUGGGCCACAAUAUAUGGAAAUCCUAACAAUCUCCCACUUGGCUCAUAUUAAUCAUAUUCCAUGAAUGGAUUUUCUAUACUCCAAUCUUUAUUGCGCAUUAUUGGAAACUUUAUGGUCAAAUAUCUUAGAACUCACUUGAUCUUUAGCUCAAACUAAAAGACUACAACGAUAGGAACUAUGGCGGUCCACCUCUUCAUAAAAAAAUUUUCCUUCCAUAAUUAUCGUAUCAUCUUCACCUCCUAGCCGAGUACUUUAUAUGGUACAACUUUAUGAAUGAACGUAAACUGUAUAUUCAUUCGUUAAUAGACGAAACUUUAUGUCUAUUAAAUGGUCCAACACAGCUGCAUUAAACUUUAACGAAAAAAGAUAGAUGUUACAAAUUUAUACAUCAAAAGAACUAAUCAAAUCCAUACUUUUAACACGAUCUGUAUAUGACCCAGGUGCCAGCCCCUUGGUCAUUGGGUUUGCAAUCAUACACUUGAUACUGAUGUACUCAAUUGCAACAUAACCUUUCUCUAUCUUCUCUCUCACAACAAGAUAUUUGGUGUCCAAGUAUUUACACCCUACUGUAAUCUUGUUGUUAUUGGCAAAGGAAAUCGCAGCUGAACUAUCACAGAAAAUCUUUAUUGGAUAAACACCGGAGUCCACAAUUCUUAAGUCUGUGAUAAAAUUCCUAAGCCAAAAAACCUGUGAUGUGGUAUCGUAACAUGCAAUAUGAUCCAAAAUUUUCUUCAUAUACCUCAUAACCUUCUUAGUAGCCUUCCAAUGCUUCAUAUCUGGAUUACUUUGAUACCUGUUAAGUAAUCCAACAACAAAAACAAUAUCCGGACGUGUGCACAUCUGUGCAUACAUAAGACUACCAACUGCAGAGGCAUAGGCUAUGCUUUCCAUCUGUUCAACUUUUAAUUGGAUCUUGGGACACUGAAAAGUAUUAAGCUUAUCCCCUUUCUGAACAGGAGCAACACUGGGCUUAUAAUUAUGCAUUUCAAAAUUUUCCAAACUUUCUUUAUAUAGGCCUUUUGAGAUAGACCGAGUAAACCUUUAUGUCUAUCCCUUUUGAUUUCAAUACCAAGAACAUAUGAGGCCUCACCUAAAUCUUUCAUUUCAAAAUUUUGGAAAAGAAAUUCUUUAGUGUUAUGCAAUAGCCCAAGAUCAUUACUGGCAAGCAAAAUAUCAUCAACAUAAAGGACUAAGAAAAUUAUUUUACUCCUACUAACCUUUAGAUAAAUACAUUGAUCAACAAUAUUUUCCUUAAAACCAAAGAUCAAAAUAGUUUGUUUAAAUUUAAAUACCAUUGUCGGGAGGCCUGCUUUAGUCCAUAUAUUGAUUUCUUUAAUUUGCAUACCAAAUGCUCCUUUCCCUUUUGCGAGAAUCCUUCAGGUUGAUUCAUAUACACCUCUUCAUAGAGAUCCCCAUUUAAAAAAGCAGUUUUGACAUCCAUCUGGUGUAGCUCGAGAUCAAAAUGAGCAACCAGAGCCAUAAUAAUACGGAAAGAUUCCUUUCUAGAUACUGGAGAGAAAGUCUCUUUAUAGUCAAUGCCUUCUUUCUGAGUAAACCCUUUUGCCACAAGACGGGCCUUGUAUCUCUCUAUGUUACCUUUGGAGUCCCAUUUGAUUUUAUAAACCCAUUUGCAUCCUACAGGUUUAACUCCAAUAGGUAACUCAACAAGAUCCCAUACCUUAUUGUGGUUCAUGGAUUCAAUCUCAUCCUUCAUGGCAUUGUACCAUUCCGUAGAAUUAUUACUAUUUAUGGCUUCGGAAAAACUAAGAGGAUCAUCUAAACUCUGACCAUUCUCAUAAAGAUAGACAAUAUAAUCACUGGAUAUAGCCGGUCUUCUCUGUCUUGAGGAUCUUCUUAAAUCUAUCUGAUUAUCCACAUGUAUAUCUUGAUGUGGAUUAUUCACUUGUGAAUUAUCCACUUGUACAUCUUGAUGUGAAUUAUCAAUGAUAGGUUCACAAUCAUUUUGUGGUUCCAAAACAACUUGUUGUUCUACUGGAAGAGGAACCAAUAAAUCGUGAGGGACAACAGUGGGUCUGUCAUGUACAGAAUCCGAAUGCUCCUGAAUUUCCUCAAAUUCAAUGAAUCGAGGUUCAGAGUUCCCACUAAUUGUACCAUCCUCAAUAAACCGUGCUGUUUUAGUUUCUGCAAUCUUUAUAGGAAGUGAUGGACAGUAAAACUUAUACCCUUUGGACCUUUCCGAAUAACCAAUAAAAUAUCCCGAUAUGGUUCGAGGGUCCAAUUUCUUUAUUUGUGGAUCAUACAACUUGGCCUCAGCUUGACAACCCCACGUAUGAAAAUGUCUUAAACUGGGUUUCCUACCUGUCCAAAGCUCAAAAGGAGUCUUAGUGACAGCCUUAGUAGGGACCCGAUUAAGAAUAUAUAUAGGGCAGUUUUGAGUGCCUUACUCCACAAUAAUAUCGGAAUGGUAGAAAUACUGAUCAUACUCCUGAGCAUAUCAAUUAAUGUGCGGUUUCUUCUUUCAACAACACCAUUCUGAUCAGGUGUCCCUGGCAUGGUGUACUGUGGAACAAUUCCGCACUGCUCCAGAAACUUAGCAAAAGGCCCAGGGAUAUGGCCUUUAUCUGUUUGUCUACCAAAAUAUCCACCACCCUUAUCUGAUCUGACUACUUUUAUCCUUUUCUCGAGUUGAUUCUCUACUUUAGCCUUAUAUGCCUUAAAGGCAUCUAAUGCUUCAGAUUUUUCUUUGAGUAAGUAGAGAUAGCCAUAUCGAGAGUAGCCAUUCUGAUCUGACUACUUUUAUCCUUUUCUCGAGUUGAUUCUCUACUUCAGCCUUAUAUGCCUUAAAGGCAUCUAAUGCUUCAGAUUUUUCUUUAAGUAAGUAGAGAUAGCCAUAUCGAGAGUAGUCAUCAGUAAAUGUGAUAAAAUAUUUAUGGCCAGUAAUUGAAAUAGGAAGAGGUCCGCAUAUAUCGGUAUGAAUCAACUCUAAUGUUCCAUCACAUCUUUUAGCAUCUUUAGAGGAAGUUUUGGUCUGCUUUCCCUUUAUGCAGUUCACACAUAUUCCAAAGUCAGAGAAGUCCAAAUCAUCUAAAAUGUCUUCUCUAAUUAACCUUUGGAUUCUCUGUUUCGAGAUGUGUCCUAACCUCUUAUGCCAUAACAUGGAUGACCUUUCAUUAUUAAUGCCACGUUUUGAUCCAACAUUUCCGUGCAUGGUAAGAAAAAUUUCACCAAAAAAAUUAUCUAAAAAUACUUUAUAUAGAUUAUUUUUCAAAACACCAGAACUAACUAUCUGAGAUUUAUAGGAUAAAGAAAAAACUUUAUUAUCAAAACUGAAACUGUAUCCCAAUCCAACAAGUUUCGAAAUAGAAAUUAAAUUCUUAGAAAAAUUUGGAAUAUAUAAUGUAUCUUCUAAAUCCAAAAUAUGAUCAGUAGAAAGAACUAAUCUAAAAGUUCUGGUAAAUUCUAUUUUAUUUGGAUUUUCUUCAGCUGUAUAGAUAGUCGCUUCAACUUUAUUGGGUUUUCUGUGAUUUUGAAAUCCCUGCACGGAAUUCGCCACGUGGCAUGUGGCACCAGAGUCAAUCCACCAAGUAUUAGACGGAACUAAAACUAAAUGCAACUCAUGCAUCAAAACUAGAAAUUUACCUUUCUUCUGGAGCCAUUUCUGAUACUUUUGGCAAUCAUUCUUUAUAUGACCAUUUUUCUUACAAAAGGAGCACUUGGGAGUCCAAUUACUUGAUUGGCCUUGUGAACCAGACGGAACUUUCUUGUUCUUUCUUUUUGAGUCAUACUUGCCCUUGCCAUUCUUAGCAUGCUUUAUUUGUCUCUUCUAAGAAACAAAGUUGACUGCAUUUUGUUUCUCUUGUAUUAAUCUGCCUUCCUCUUGCACACACAUGGUCAGCAAUUCAUUAAUUGACCAUUUAUCUUUAUGUGUGUUAUAAGAGAUCUGAAAUGGUCCGUAUUCAGAUGGCAAAGAGUUUAAAAUAAAGUGCACUAAGAAUGAAUCAGAGAUGGUUACUUCAAGUGCGGUGAGUUGCGCUGCAAUAUCUCGCAUUUCCAUAAUAUGCUCGCGAAUUGAGCCCUUUCCGGAGUACUUCAUGGAAGACAAUUUAUUCAUUAAGGUGCUCGCCAAGGUUUUAUCGGAGCUGACAAAUUGCUCCUCAAUGGCCUUUAGAUAAUCCUUAGCUUUAUCACAUUCUGGGAUUGAUCCCCUUAUGCUUUUUGAUACCCUUGACUUUAUGAGUAUCAAACUUAAGCGGUUGGAUCGCUCCUACUUUUCCUGCGCGAAUUCCUGCUGUGGACUCAUUGGCACCACUACCUUAGGCGGUUAUUCAGCGCGCAGAGCCAAAUCUAAAUCUAUAUAGCCCAAAAUGAACAUGAUCUGUUCUUUCCACUCCGAAUAAUUAGAACCAUUAAGUAUAGGAACAGAUUCACCAAUAGGAACAGAAAAUGGAGUCAUAGCUGAAAAAUAAAAUGCAUGCUUUAUCAAUAAAAUACCACAUCAUAAAUUACCACACCAAAAUUAGAAAAAUACACUUUAUAUGACAUCACAACCCCUCCUUUGGGAGCAGAGUUAUGAGCAUAAGUAUUCUUCGUUCUUUAUGCAUAUGCUUUAUAUGACAUCACAACCCCUUCUUUGGGAGCAGAGUUAUAAGCAUAAAUAUGCAAUCAUUCCUUAUGCAUAUCCUUUAUAUGACAUCACAACCCCUCCUUUGGGAGCAGAGUUAUGAGCAUAAAUAUGCAAUCUCUUUGUUAGAGAUUAAUUUAAACUUUCUGUAGGUCGUGAUAAUCUCAAAUUUUCCAUAUGAAGAAAAAUUCAGCUUUGGCCAGGCAAAUUUCUCCAAACGAGUUAUAAGAAAAUUACCAUCCUACACCACCCAUAUACCUUCAUGUCUAGACCUCCUUUGGGAGCAGACUAAACAUAAUAUUAAGGUGCAAUUUCGCAUGUACUUCUUUAAAGCAAUUAAUUUAUCUUUUCUUCCGGUCGGGCCGUUUUGGCUUGCACCCGAAUAGUUGAAGUAAUAAAUUAAUCUGACUUAGUACUGCAUAAUUAACAUGAAAAUUAUCCGAAAGCACUACUUUAAAGUAAAAUAAAUUAAUAUUUCUUUUAAUUAGGGCCGCUUUGGCUUGCACCUAACUAAUCGAAAUAAUAAAUUAAUUUAACUCAGCGCCAAAUAUUAAAUAAUCGAAAACAAUUAUGAUUAUUUAAUUUUCAUGUUCAUUUGGUCAAAAUAAGAAUAUAGAUGCGAUAAUUUAAAACAUGACAUUGCAAUCAAAUUUAAACUUUAUAUAUAUUUCAAUUUGACCUCAAAAAUAAUAUAAAUAGAUUUAUGACAAAUAAAUAUUGUAUGCAAAAUUAAAACCCUAUGUGAACGGAUUCUUUAUGUUCACGAUAUUUUAACAAGCAAGAGGAUCAAAUUUUGAUGAAUAAAAAAAAAAGGUUAAAUAAUAAUAAUAAUAAGCUUAUAGUUAAAACAAACUCUUAGCAAUAAAAAAUUCCAAAAGCAGCCAUGACGGAAUCGACAUGUCAUGAUAGACGGAAUUUGAAACGGGACAAAAUUCAAACUUUUCCAUAUAACUGACCCAGUUAAUACGAUUAUGAAAAACCAUGUUUAAAUACAAAACCGCGGAACAUACACGUGCUCAUAGCGGUUAAAUCCAAUCCAUGUAGCAGCCAAGCGACAUCCAACUCUUCAAUACCUUAUUAACCCAAUCUCUCAAGGGUUAGAGAAGCACCAUGCAUUAUCAGGACAUCGCCACAACACCGCAUCAUAAGCACGCGGCAUGAUUUUCAAAACGUUGCCAACCAUAAUUUAAUUUGCACACAAAUUAAAUUCAUAUAACAUGCAAGAUAUAUAAAAUCCAAAGACUAGUCAAUAUGCAACACCCUAUGUGCAAUGUGACGACGUUACAUCACCUUAAUUAGGAUCGAGAAUGUAAAACCCCUUUUUUUUUUUCUUUUUUUUUCUUUUUUUUUAAUCUAAAAUUCAUCAUAAUUUGAUCCAAUUACUUAAUGCAUACAAAAUUUAAUUUAUCAAUCUGGCUCUGAUACCAAUUGAUGGAAUCACAAGGUAUGUAAAAUAAAUAAAAAUAAAUACAUACCAAAUCCAGGAUCAAAAAUAAGAAUAUAAAAUAACUCACAGAGCGCCAUAGAGAAGAGAUUCUUGAUUAAUCUUGCGGAAGCUAGAAGUCCGGCUACGUUCUGAAAGUCACGAACCAAACUUGGGUGAUUUGGUUUCUCCCCCUAUCUCAGGCACUCUGCCGUAUGGUGUGGAACCGAUGGUAAUUCUUUACCAGAAUGUAUAUAAGAAGGUGGCAGGACCAAUACCCCUUUAUAUAAAGUCCAGAUCAACUUCCUAUCAAAGUCUGAUUAAGAUUCUAUUCAAAUCUGAAAUAUAUGGAAUAUGAAUAAAAUAUACCAUAUCAAGUAGUUCUAAAUAUGUUAGGAUUGACCUUUAUCUAUAGCAAAUUCUAAAUUAAAUAUGAUUAAUUGGGCCACAAUAUAUAGAAAUCCUAACAAGUAAGUUCUAGAC